GAGUUUCCCAGUCACCAUAAAUGGAACAGUAUCAAGUUUCUGAACAUGGGAGGAAAAGAUGAUCACCUUCAGAAUAGUGAGAUGAAGAAACACUAAGAAGCUGCUACUUGCUUAAAGCUUCUACAGCUCAAGUGGCAGCAAGAGGAUUUAAACCUAGAGUUGUUGCGGUCAUACACCAGAGCACUUAAGGACUCCAGAGCGCUACGUGCUUCGACGCAGUCUGUCUUCCUCACUCUUGUA
Molecule: long non-coding RNA, 240 nt
Organism: Prionailurus viverrinus (fishing cat)
Lineage: Eukaryota; Metazoa; Chordata; Mammalia; Carnivora; Felidae
Exons: 3
Source: RefSeq, a predicted model, not a curated record